This 257-nucleotide ribosomal RNA is filed under the name uncultured bacterium. RNAcentral describes it as "partial small subunit ribosomal RNA". It matches the Rfam family "Bacterial small subunit ribosomal RNA", at positions 26 to 286 of the family's 1533-position model. The record is from RNAcentral.
AGGACGAACGCUGGCGGCGUGCUUAACACAUGCAAGUCGAGCGGAAAGGCCCUUCGGGGUACUCGAGCGGCGAACGGGUGAGUAACACGUGAGCAACCUGCCCCUGGCUCUGGGAUAGCCUCCGGAAACGGGGAUUAAUACCGGACAUUCUCCUCCUUCCGCAUGGUUGGUGGUGGAAAGUUUUUUCGGCCAGGGAGGGGCUCGCGGCCUAUCAGCUUGUUGGCGGGGUAACGGCCCACCAAGGCGACGACGGGUAG